AUACGUAGGGGGCAAGCGUUAUCCGGAUUUACUGGGUGUAAAGGGAGCGUAGACGGCGAAGCAAGUCUGAAGUGAAAACCCAGGGCUCAACCCUGGGACUGCUUUGGAAACUGUUUUGCUAGAGUGUCGGAGAGGUAAGUGGAAUUCCUAGUGUAGCGGUGAAAUGCGUAGAUAUUAGGAGGAACACCAGUGGCGAAGGCGGCUUACUGGACGAUAACUGACGUUGAGGCUCGAAAGCGUGGGGAGCAAACAGGAUUAGAUCCCCUGGUAGUCCACGCCGUAAACGAUGAAUGCUAGGUGUUGGGGGGCAAAGCCCUUCGGUGCCGCCGCAAACGCAGUAAGCAUUCCACCUGGGGAGUACGUUCGCAAGAAUGAAACUCAAAUGAAUUGACGGGG
This 396-nucleotide ribosomal RNA is filed under the name uncultured bacterium. RNAcentral describes it as "partial 16S ribosomal RNA". It matches the Rfam family "Bacterial small subunit ribosomal RNA", at positions 523 to 918 of the family's 1533-position model. The record is from RNAcentral.